This 253-nucleotide ribosomal RNA is filed under the name uncultured bacterium. RNAcentral's name for it is "partial 16S ribosomal RNA". It matches the Rfam family "Bacterial small subunit ribosomal RNA", at positions 524 to 776 of the family's 1533-position model. The record is from RNAcentral.
UACGGAGGGGGCUAGCGUUGUUCGGAAUUACUGGGCGUAAAGCGCACGUAGGCGGCUUUGUAAGUUAGAGGUGAAAGCCCGGGGCUCAACUCCGGAACUGCCUUUAAGACUGCAUCGCUAGAAUUGUGGAGAGGUGAGUGGAAUUCCGAGUGUAGAGGUGAAAUCCGUAGAUAUUCGGAAGAACACCAGUGGCGAAGGCGACUCACUGGACACAUAUUGACGCUGAGGUGCGAAAGCGUGGGGAGCAAACAGG